This 242-nucleotide long non-coding RNA is filed under the name Lathyrus oleraceus (garden pea). Its description in RNAcentral is "Pisum sativum (pea) long non-coding RNA (PSAT_LNC023059)". The record is from RNAcentral. Lineage: Eukaryota; Viridiplantae; Streptophyta; Magnoliopsida; Fabales; Fabaceae.
AAUGACUUACGUCAUCAUUAUGUUUGUGAGAAGAAAAGUACUUAAUUUUGACACUUAAUUUUAUAUAUCUGUUGACUUCAUUGCAUUUUGACUUUGUUCUCUCAUAUCCUCACUUUGCAUUUUUUUCUCUUUUCUCACAUAUAUUUUCACCUCAAAUUCUUCUAUUCUUGAUUCAAUUUUUUCCUCUGAUAACAUGCCAUUUCAUUCUUAUUUUUUUUUAACUCCUCCUUCAUCGACCGCUU